GGCAGCGGGACUGUGGGGGCUGGAGUAGCCUGGGUCCUGGGUUCAAGUCCCUGAAGUUCAGAGGAAGAUAUGGCCUGGCUGAUUGUCUUCAGCAGCUCAGAACAAGAUAAUUUACUGAUUCAACAAGCUGAAGAGAUAAAGUAACUGAGGCUCCAGGGGAAGGUGACUUGCCCAAGCUCACCCACUGCCUGGAAUCUGGAUUUAAGGAAGACCCAAAUUUCGAGGCUGGCCCUGCUACUUAUUGGGGAUUGAACCCAGGGCCUUGUGCAUGCAAGGCAAGCACUCUUCCAACUGAGCUAUAUUCCCACCCCAUGUUAAAAUUCUUGCUGGUUGCAGUGGUACAUGACUGUAAUCCUAGCGGCUUGGGAGGCUGAGACAAGAGGAUCAUGAGUUCAAAGCCAGCUUCAGCAACUUAGUGAGGCCCUAAGCAAUUCAGUUUGACUCUGCCUCUAAAUAAAAUAUUUUUUAAAAAGGGCUGGGGAUGUGGCUCAGUGGUUGAGAGGCCCUAGCUUCCAUCCCAGGAACCAAAAAGACAAAGCAACCUCUUAACAUAGUGUCUCUUACCAGGUCUUGGCUGAUGUAAUUAUCUGCCCAAAGACAAGGUCCACUCCCCAAGAACAGUGGGGCCAGGGGAGGUGUGUAGCCUUCCCAGGUCAGCCCAGGGUAUCUUCCUGGAAGAAGCGGCAUCUCUGCCCCAUUUUAACCUAAGACAGGAGCGCCCUGGUGCGUGUGGCUGUGGAGGGGGCUGGGGUGUGCUUGGAAUGCGGUGGGACACCUAGAGCAGGAGACUGGCCUCCGCAGGGGUGGGUGUGAGGUCAGGUCAGGUCUAAACACGGGCAGGCCUCCAGACCUCGUUCCCAGAGGAUGUCUCAACAGCUUGCCUGGGGACCUUGGAUGAUAAACAGGUUGUCACCCUCGAGCCCCAAGUGAACCUGAUAAGUCCUGGCCAGGCCGAAAAGAGGAGAGGCUGGGCUAUAAAUACUCGGUGACUCAGGGCCGUGCUCUGCUGGUUCUGUUGCCCUGCGGAGGCCUCCACCCCGGGGAAGGUCUAGGCUACCCGCUGGGGCCCGGCUUGGGGUCCGUCUGAGAAGUGCUCACCCCUCUGCGCUUCCAGUCACCCAGGAAAGGAGGCCCCCUGGCUCUCCAGACCUGAGGCCAGGCGGCCUGGAGAUUGGGCACAGGGUCUGGGUGCCAGAAGAAGGUGGGCUCUUUCAGUUUCAUCCCUUAACCAGCCAAGUGACUUUUAAGUCAGCCAAUUCACUCUUCUGGGCCUCAGUUUCCUGAAUGGUAAAAUGAAGAUAUCCUCCGAACUUCGAUCACAGGGCUGUCACAAGGAGGAUAGACAAGAAUGCACAGGAGGCCCUUGGCCCAGGGACUCAUGUGCAAUAGACCCUGAGUUAAUGAUGGGAAUUAGGCUGUAAAUUAAACCGCCUCUUUAAAAGGUCUUUGGAGUGGGACAGGUGGGGGCUUUGGUUCCUUCAGAGAGCUAGUUAGGGAGCCAGUGGUUACCCCAGAACCUUACCCACCAGGGCACCAUGCUGCCCUGACUGCCCCCCCCCCCAGGAAAGUCGUCAAGGAAAGGACAAAAGUGAGAGGAUGAGGAAGGAGGAAUUGGGGUACUUGGCAACAAUCAGGUGUGACUGUAGAGGACUAGCAGAGAUGGGCAAAGAGCCCUUUCUCAACUGUCUGAAGUGACUUCUGAACCCAUGACCCUUCAAAACCCUUUUCUACCUGGCUUUGGAAGCCCUCUCUUUGCAUCCUACCUCAGGGCCUUUGCACAUAUUGUGUGCUCUUGCCUUCUCAGCCAAGAUUUACCUCUUCAAAGAAGCCUCUCUUAACCACUUUGUUUGGGUCCUGCCCAUCCCCUCACUCCUGGACUCAUGUCAGGGACUAGAAGGAAAUUCUCCUUCAAAGAUUAGCCUGACAGCCCCCUGGGAGACAUCCUGCCUGGGAGGCAUCCUGCAGCUACUUAUCUCACCUGAGACAUCCUGCGGCCACCUAUCUUCCUGAAACCUAUCUUCCUGAAACAUCCUGCGGUUAUCUCACCUUGUGCAGACAUCCAGCAACUACCGAUAAGAGAGCUUCCCCAUCCCCAGCAUAUAAAUACCCCUGUGUGAAUAACAAAAGUUUGCAGCUUGAUCAGAACUCUUGUCUUGCUGUCAUCCUUCUGUGUCUCUUGUCCCUUCAUUCCUCCCCAUCUAGGUUCGCUGCCCACGUUGAUGUGUCCUGCCGGACGGGACAGACUCAAGCAUCUGUUUGGUUUUUUUCCUGAUAUUUAUUUCAAUCCAUUAUUGUUUUACUCAAUUUCUUUAUUCAUCAACUGUCUUCCCCACACAUGUGAGAAAGUAUCCAUUCCAUGAGAGCAGGGAUCAGAUGGGCUGAUCCACUGUUGUAUCCACAGUGGAAGGCCACCUGUAUUCAGUAGGAGCUUAGCAUUUAUUUGUGAGAUAGGUUUCCCAUGGAGUCCCCUCACAUCCAUCUCCUUCAUUCCUCCUAGCUUUCCAAACCCUGACCAAGGCUGACUUCCUAGUGGGCCUCCUUUGGGAAGCCCGCUGCCCUUGUGAUGUGAACAACCUAUACAACUAUACAGGGCAGCCCUGCUUCAACCACCACUGCUUACAUGUGCCUGCCCUUAGGCAAGUCACCUCAGCUCCCUGGGCCCCAGUUCUCCCAGUUAAUUCCACUCUUGGGACACUAUCCAAAGGACAUAAUCUGAAAGCAGAGAAAAGCCCAA
Marmota monax (woodchuck) is the source of this 2734-nucleotide long non-coding RNA. RefSeq lists it as uncharacterized. The record is from RefSeq and is a predicted model, not a curated record. The transcript has 3 exons. Lineage: Eukaryota; Metazoa; Chordata; Mammalia; Rodentia; Sciuridae.